GACGAACGCUGGCGGCGUGCUUAACACAUGCAAGUCGAACGAAGAGCGACGGAAGCUUGCUUCUAUCAAUCUUAGUGGCGAACGGGUGAGUAACGCGUAAUCAACCUGCCCUUCAGAGGGGGACAACAGUUGGAAACGACUGCUAAUACCGCAUACGAUCUAACCUCGGCAUCGAGGAUAGAUGAAAGGUGGCCUCUACAUGUAAGCUAUCACUGAAGGAGGGGAUUGCGUCUGAUUAGCUAGUUGGAGGGGUAACGGCCCACCAAGGCGAUGAUCAGUAGCCGGUCUGAGAGGAUGAACGGCAACAUUGGGACUGAGACACGGCCCAGACUCCUACGGGAGGAAGCAGUGGGGAAUCUUCCGCAAUGGACGAAAGUCUGACGGAGCAACGCCGCGUGAGUGAUGACGGCCUUCGGGUUGUAAAGCUCUGUUAAUCGGGACGAAAGGCCUUCUUGCGAAUAGUGAGAAGGAUUGACGGUACCGGAAUAGAAAGCCACGGCUAACUACGUG
This 510-nucleotide ribosomal RNA is filed under the name uncultured bacterium. RNAcentral describes it as "partial 16S ribosomal RNA". It matches the Rfam family "Bacterial small subunit ribosomal RNA", at positions 28 to 507 of the family's 1533-position model. The record is from RNAcentral.